AUAAAGGUCUAGUAGUGAUGCA
RNAcentral lists this microRNA (22 nucleotides) under Haemonchus contortus (barber pole worm). RNAcentral describes it as "hco-miR-5913". Lineage: Eukaryota; Metazoa; Nematoda; Chromadorea; Rhabditida; Trichostrongylidae. The record is from miRBase by way of RNAcentral.